This 543-nucleotide long non-coding RNA is filed under the name Phascolarctos cinereus (koala). Its description in RNAcentral is "lncRNA (ENSPCIG00000019052.2)". The record is from RNAcentral. Lineage: Eukaryota; Metazoa; Chordata; Mammalia; Diprotodontia; Phascolarctidae.
CUUGCAUCUUUUAGGGCAGGCAAAGCAAGAGAGGCUUUGGGCAAAGUGCUACCCUAUUGGAUAAUCUCUCAAUAUUUUGCAGUUCACUAGGUUUCCUCCAGAGAGACAGAUAAAUACAACGUUAUUUCUUCACCUAACAGAUCUAACAGACCUUCUUUUUGUUCACCACCCCCAAUCUCCUAUCUCCCUGCUGCUUCCAUCAACUAGGAGGUGUAAAAGAACUCCCAAGGACUACAGUUUAUUUGUUCUGCAACCUUCUGAGAAAUGUGUUACAUCAUGUGCUGCUUCCAAAACCAUGCUAAUGAAAUAGGGCUGUCAGAACUCAUUUACACAGGAUACACAAUUGCUUGAUGACACUUGAGGAUAUUCACAGCCUAACAAAGAGGCAAAGAUUUCUGGAGAUAAAUCCCAACAUCGGCCUCUGGGUGCCUUAGUAUCCUGAAGAGCACAGCAACAUAAAAAAGCUUGAGCAGAAUUGUAUCCAUAAGGCUUGUAUGGACUGAUGCUGAGUGAAGUGAGCAGAACCAGAAGAAUGUUGUACAC